Non-coding RNA from Nematostella vectensis (starlet sea anemone), 82 nucleotides. The record is from Rfam. NCBI's taxonomy places the organism in Eukaryota, Metazoa, Cnidaria, Anthozoa, Actiniaria, Edwardsiidae.
GUUGGGGUGGCCGAGUAGUUAAGGCGUUGGACUAGAAAUCCAAUGGGAUCUUCCCGCGCAGGUUCGAAUCCUGCCCGCAACG